UCCUUUCUUCAGUCACCACCACCAAACUGACUUAUCGGCAUCACAACUUUUUGCAUUGGGAGCAGAUUGUCAAAGUUAUGCUAAAAGCAAUGGUCGUAAGGUUUGUUUAACGUCCACAAAUUCCUCUGAGGAUCCUCACCGGUUCAGAUCAUAUUGUCUAGAAAGUCAAUCUAAACUUCUGAGCUUAGGAAGGUUAGGACCGGCUACUCCCGGACUACCUUUCACCAUACAAGCCUUUGAUGAUUCGUAUUGGUUAUAAACCAAGUCUGUUUUUCACCUGAUGGACAAUGGGUGGCAAGUGCAUCUUUUGAUAAUUCUGUCAAGUUAUGGAAUGGGACUACAGGGAAAUUUGUUGCUACCUUCCGCCAUGUUCGGGGUGUCUACCAGAUCAGUUGGUCUGCAGACAGUAGACUAUUGUUGAGUGGCAGCAAAGAUUCUACAUUGAAGGUAUGCAUAGUUUCCCUUUUCUUUCAAUGAAUCAAAUAAAUACCAAUGGAUAUUAUUUAGCUUGGUUUGUACCUUAAAUUACAUCAACUCUCAUUAGCAAACAA
This is a long non-coding RNA of Trifolium pratense (red clover), 551 nucleotides long. RefSeq lists it as uncharacterized. The record is from RefSeq and is a predicted model, not a curated record. The transcript has 3 exons. NCBI's taxonomy places the organism in Eukaryota, Viridiplantae, Streptophyta, Magnoliopsida, Fabales, Fabaceae.